Molecule: ribosomal RNA, 501 nt
Filed under: Hydroginella sp. MNHN-IM-2013-50680
Lineage: Eukaryota; Metazoa; Mollusca; Gastropoda; Neogastropoda; Marginellidae
Description: partial 12S ribosomal RNA
Source: RNAcentral
AACUAUAUGAUCUAGUAUAUACUAUAGGACAUUUUGUAGUAAGGCGUUUAUUAUUUUAAUGUAGGUUGAUCUUAGUUUGUGGGGGUAUAAUCUGGCAUACUGUGAUAAUAAUUUAUAUACAUUUUAGGCUGAAUCUACUAAAAAUAUAAGAUAAACUAGGAUUUGAUACCCUAUUAUAUAUAUUUGUAAUCUUUAAUUUGUUAGGGUACUACGAGCAUUAAAGCUUAAAACCUAAAGGACAUGGCGGUAUUUAGAAUUAAUCAGGGGAGCUUGCUUCAUAAUCGAUAAUCCACGUUAGACCUAACUGUCUUAAUUAGCUUGUAUACCGUUGUUUUCAGUUAACCUUUAAUAGUAUUUAAGUUGGCUUAACAAUUUUUUAUUAUUAAUUCAAAUCAAGGUGCAGCUUAUGGGUCAGGGAGGGUGGGCUACAAUUAUAAUAUUUAUUUUCUGAUGAUUGGUUAAAAUACCUUUUUGAAGUUGGACUUGAAAGUAAAGUAUUUU